Molecule: long non-coding RNA, 468 nt
Organism: Leptopilina heterotoma
Lineage: Eukaryota; Metazoa; Arthropoda; Insecta; Hymenoptera; Figitidae
Exons: 3
Source: RefSeq, a predicted model, not a curated record
AAUUUUUGAUUAAAUAGCCAAAAGAUCGUUAAUGGUGAAUAACAAAUUGCCCCUGUAUAUAUGCAACCCAUUCUCUUCUUCCUUCCCGCAUUUGUUUUUCUCAACCUGACGCAUCGGAAGUGUUAAAAUUGUUGAUUUUUUCCUAAUUAUUCCUUGUUUUUAAACAAAUUAUCUCAGAAUUGAUGAAAUUUAAAGUAACUUAUGUAAAAUAAGGUAAAUUAGAAAGAAUUCAUCGUUUCAUAAUAUACAAAAUCAGAAGAAAUCAGAAAAAAGUAGUGCAAUAAUUACAAGAAUGCCGGUGACGGAAAAUUUUGAGGUUAUGUUUUUUAUCCACGACAACUUGAGCAACAAAGAGGAAUGUGUGAGUAAAUUAUGAAUUUCAACAAAUAAAAAAUAAGAUAAAAAGUGUUUGCAAUUUGGAAGGUGAUUUUUACGGAAAAUUGGCGCAGGAUCUCUGUAUACUGGGUA